Long non-coding RNA from Canis lupus familiaris (dog), 1676 nucleotides. RefSeq lists it as uncharacterized. Lineage: Eukaryota; Metazoa; Chordata; Mammalia; Carnivora; Canidae. The record is from RefSeq and is a predicted model, not a curated record. The transcript is spliced from 8 exons.
UUUCCGCUUGACAAAAGCCUACAGAUAAGAUCAGGUUAAUUCACAGACAAUACAAUCUCCCUGAAUUGGAACAACCCUCCAGCAGGCUGGGAGGGAGGGAUGAUCGGGGGAUUCAGGGGGUGUGCAGGGUUGGAGCCCCCAGACUAGGUCCUGCUUUGCCUGGAAAAGACUGGCUUGACUACUGAGCUCUCACAGUGGAGAAGUGGGGUCUGACAUGAAGGAAGAUAUCCUGUGCUCCAUGGAUCCGGCUCCCGAAGCUAGCUGCUGGCUCCUUGCUGGAGCUUCAGAAUGAAAUUUAGAAGGUCGAAAGACAUCAUAUCGCUGUUUUCAAAGGAAAAGAGGUGCCUGCAAAAGAAGGAAAUAAGCUCAAAGCACACAUAGAGUUCACCAGGGUUACACAGCCAGGGAGUGAUGAGGUCUGAACUUGGAACCAGAGCCCGCACCCCAGACCCCCACGCCGCCCUGACCCUCUAUCUCCGUCUCCAGGAUGGAGAAGACACAGCGUCGGCCAUCCAGGGGGUACGGAGCAUCAGAAGCAAACAGAGAAGGCCUGUAUUCAAAGGCCCCUGGGCCAACACUUGGAUUCGGCUUCCCUCCAGACCUUGGGCAGGGUGCUCCACAUGCUCAACGCCCCAGGCCUUCCCAUAGCCCUGUGAGGCCCAUCUGUUAUUUCAUUAAGUCCUUCCCCGUAAUCCUAUCAGAAGUAAGACACUGGGCUCACCUCUGAGGGGACUUGAGUUGCCCUACAGAUGUGCGUCUAUUACAGCUUCAAGAGCAGAUGAGAAAUCCCAGGGAAAGGGAAAUUCGGCAGCAAAAUCCAUUCGACUGAAGGUACCCAGAAAUGUGACCGGGCCACAGAGUCCUUGGAAUCUCUAGAUCGCCCUGGCAAUAAGAUCAAAGUCUUCUCCUUCCUUGGUAGCACUUGGUGGACAUGUUUUGUGUUAAUCUGCACCUGAUAAUGACGCUCAUCGCAAGUCCCUCCAGUGAGGGAAUGAAUUGAUGAUUGAAUAAGCUCUCCCUCCAGCACGUGGCACACCAAGGGUGCCCAGAAGACAAUCUGUAAAUUAAAGUGCUACCAGCCAAAACAACCUCAGCCUGGUUGCUUAGCAGGCCUCACUCCUCCUUACAAGUGAGAAUGCUCUGGCCAAGCGGGGUUAAGUGGCUUGCCUGGCCAUGGAAUAUCUGAACUAGCAGGACACAGAAAGCUGGGCCACUACAGGGAUAAACAGUCUCUACCCUGAAAAUAUGAUUUCUUGGAACUGCCGCUCUGGAGGGAAGCAAGCUUCUACUUCAGCCCAGAACUCCUCGCUGGAUUGACACAUCACCACCCAAAGUAAAAGUGGCUGCGGGGGGCUGGGAGGAGGGUUGGGAGAGAUGUUUCCUUUGGGAGCUGGGUGUUUAGGGACCCAGGUGGCAGAGGCCCUGGCAAAGCCCUUGAGGCAGCACCGUCUCCUGGAAGGUAGGUCAUCUAGUGGAUCUGGCUCAAAUUCACAUGAGGGUCUAGGGAACUGAGCCCUGUCUCUCUGCAAAUGACAGGGCCACCAGAGCCGGGGGUUGACUCGUCACAGGCAGCGGCUAAUUCAGAUCCUGUGAUUGAAGACUUCGAACCUCAUCUCCGAUCUCGCCUACCCAUGCCCAGCCUCCUCUCUUAAAAAAUAAAUAUAUAUUUUUUGUCA